GUCUCCGCCUGGGGUCGUCUGAGCACUGCGGCUUAGAAGGCUGCUCUGCACAACGUGGGGGAAGGGGCAGAGGCCGCUGCGCCGCGGCUCCCCGCAUCGCAGUCGGUCUCCCCUCCCCCCCAUUGAAGCUCCGUCGAGUCCGAGCCCGCGGGCGGGAGGCAGAGGCCAGCUGGGGAAACCGAGGCACAGACUGUACCAAGGCGCACCAGGUGUUAGCACACUACGAAGAAGCCAAGUGAAAGCCUAUGAGGAGCGACCCGUCCGAGGCCAGGAUUUUCCCCAGGGCCUGGGUCCUGGGGAUCGGGGUUAGAUGAAAGGGUCCUGGGAUUCCGGAAGGCCUGAGCGCCCGCUGCCCCGACAGCUUCGCGGGGUGGAUUCAGCUGGAUCACCGCGAGGGUCCCCGAUCUCACGAAAUUAAUCGAGGAGUAAAGAUUACAUUUAACCUCUGCAGACAGCAAGACAGGGACCACUCUCCCUCCCAGCCUGGCGCCAGCUUGAACCCGAGGGCAUGUCAACAGGAGCCAGGAACUGGAGGCGAAGCAUCUUUCAUUUCCUCUGCGGCGGUGGAACAAGUGAGGGACCUGGCAGCAUCUAGCGGCGUGAUCCAGAGCCUGGUGGAGAGCUGGGAAGCUUGCAGCUCCUCUAAUUCUUACUGCUAUAAACCAAAGGAGAUAACUCUGUCUGGUGCCCUCCUUGGCUAUGACCCUGAGGCAUGAGCUGUCAGAGGGCACUCAGACCUCGUCUCUGUGUGUCUCUCUGGUUUUUCAUUUGACAAAGCAAAGCAUUGGGGCAUUUGUCCUGUUUGUGUGACUCCACAGAGAGCUCCAGGGUGAGUCCCCAGGCAGGAAAAGUCACUGACCGGUGUCUGAAAUCUGAGGACGUCUGGGGCCCGAGGCUGGGCGUUUAGAGCUACUACAAACAACAGCGCGUUCUUCGUAAAGUGAUUUGAAUAAUCUCAUUUUUUUCCUCUAAAUCCAAGCCUGUAUGAAAUAUUAAUUUCGUCAACAAGUGGAGAAAAUGCCACCGUGGAUCUGUUCUCCGAUGGUGUACCUGGUAUGAAGAGAGAAGCCUGUCGAGAGGGGCCAUGAACAUCAGCCUGGUUUAUUAGCUGCACAGGCUUUUUUCCUUUGUUUCUUUUCAUUUAAUUCAAAGUGAAACAACUCAGCAUGCAAAACUAAAAUUAGCUGGGAAAAAAGGUGUAAGUGAAUAAACAGGCAGAUCCAUUAGACUCGAUGGGUUAUCGGAUCCCUUGCCACUCCUCAGACAGCGGCCUAUUAAAAGUGGUAAUGUUCGCUGCCGGCGGCGCCCCUGGCAAAGAAAGAAGGCCAAGGCAGGCCUAUUUCACAUGCAUCAGACACAAGAAUUAAAUAGACCAAUGUUCCCUAAAAGACUGAAGUACAUCUCUUUCUGACGUUCAUCUCAGGCAAAAAUUCAUUGAUCUCAGUAUGUCCCUUGGCAAUUAUAAAAUAUUAAAUCCAAGUCACA
RNAcentral lists this long non-coding RNA (1485 nucleotides) under Sus scrofa (pig). RNAcentral describes it as "lncRNA (ENSSSCG00035079515.1, ENSSSCG00045019124.1)". Lineage: Eukaryota; Metazoa; Chordata; Mammalia; Artiodactyla; Suidae. The record is from RNAcentral.